This 205-nucleotide long non-coding RNA is filed under the name Elaeis guineensis (African oil palm). RNAcentral describes it as "long non-coding RNA (EGUI_LNC021574)". The record is from RNAcentral. Lineage: Eukaryota; Viridiplantae; Streptophyta; Magnoliopsida; Arecales; Arecaceae.
AAUGAUGGAAAGGAGUUUCCAUAAGAUUUUACAUAUGAACUCAAGUCGAUUGAAUAUAACAUAUGACAGGCGAUGAGGUUUGACGAGUCCAUAAUCUCUGUCUUGUUGAAACUCACGAUAGAAAGACUGAAUCAUAUGAUAACUGCACCUAGAGAUUCAUUAUUCAAUUCUACUGAGUUACCACUAUAUACUGCUAGAUGUCCCU